CUACGGAGGGUGCAAGCGUUAUUCGGAAUUAUUGGGCGUAAAGGGCGUGUAGGCGGUUUUAUCGGUCAGAUGUGAAAGCCCAGGGCUCAACCCUGGACGUGCAUUUGAAACAGUAAGACUUGAGUACGGUAGAGGAAAGCGGAAUUCCUGGUGUAGAGGUGAAAUUCGUAGAUAUCAGGAGGAACACCAGUGGCGAAGGCGACUUUCUGGACCAAUACUGACGCUGAGGCGCGAAAGCGUGGGGAGCAAACAGGAUUAGAUACCCCAGUAGUCC
RNAcentral lists this ribosomal RNA (274 nucleotides) under uncultured bacterium. Its description in RNAcentral is "partial 16S ribosomal RNA". It matches the Rfam family "Bacterial small subunit ribosomal RNA", at positions 523 to 796 of the family's 1533-position model. The record is from RNAcentral.